GCCAUAUUUCCUACCCCCUCUUCCACCAGUGGUCACAAUUGUCAUCUGGCGAUUUGAUGCUAACAUUUGCAGUUCCUCACGUAAGCUUUUUACCUGAGCCAUUAAAGAGUCAUUGCGUGGCUUGCUUUUUGAAGUGCUAGAGUCAUCUCGACUGAUACGCUUUAGAGCAAUCUUAACAGCACCUGCUACAAAAUCUGAUACAUAUGGCAGGCGUCCCUCUUUUGCCAGAACAGAG
This 235-nucleotide unclassified non-coding RNA is filed under the name Hevea brasiliensis (rubber tree). The record is from RNAcentral. Lineage: Eukaryota; Viridiplantae; Streptophyta; Magnoliopsida; Malpighiales; Euphorbiaceae.